AAGUCGUAACAAGGUUUCCGUAGGUGAACCUGCGGAAGGAUCAUUCAUGUGAUUUUUAAACACCCAACUUUAUGUUAACGAAUAGUAACAAAAAGUGCUCAAAGUUCUGUGUUUUUCUUUUGUUGGCUGCGUUUUCUUUUACCUCAUUCUAUUUUCAAAGCACUCUAAAUUAAGGGUAACUUUUACCCAGAAAAUAGUUAAAGAAAUGAUAAAUGCUACCUUUAAUUUACACUAAAAUUCACCCAAAACCAUACCAUAAAAACAUGUAAAUUAUUACAACUUUUAACGAUGGAUCCCUCGGCUCUUA
This 307-nucleotide unclassified non-coding RNA is filed under the name fungal sp. RNAcentral's name for it is "partial internal transcribed spacer region". The stretch from base 1 to 46 matches the Rfam family "Eukaryotic small subunit ribosomal RNA", at positions 1786 to 1831 of the family's 1831-position model. The record is from RNAcentral. Lineage: Eukaryota; Fungi.